GGAUUGACGGGGGCCCGCACAAGCGGCGGAGCAUGUGGUUAUUUGAAGCAACGNGAAGACCUUACCAAGGCUUGACAUACACCGGAAAGCAUCAGAGAUGGUGCCCCCNUUGUGGUCGGUGUACAGGUGGUGCAUGGCUGUCGUCAGCUCGUGUCGUGAGAUGUUGGGUUAAGUCCCGCAACGAGCGCAACCNUUGUUCUGUGUUGCCAGCAUGCCCUUCGGGGUGAUGGGGACUCACAGGAGACUGCCGGGGUCAACUCGGAGGAAGGUGGGGACGACGUCAAGUCAUCAUGCCCCUUAUGUCUUGGGCUGCACACGUGCUACAAUGGCCGGUACAAUGAGCUGCGAUACCGCGAGGUGGAGCGAAUCUCAAAAAGCCGGUCUCAGUUCGGAUUGGGGUCUGCAACUCGACCCCAUGAAGUCGGAGUCGCUAGUAAUCGCAGAUCAGCAUUGCUGCGGUGAAUACGUUCCCGGGCCUUGUACACACCGCCCGUCACGUCACGAAAGUCGGUAACACCCGAAGCCGGUGGCCCAACCCCUUGUGGGAGGGAAUCGUCGAAGGUGGGACUGGCGAUUGGACGAAGU
RNAcentral lists this ribosomal RNA (585 nucleotides) under Amazonian soil bacterium P50. Its description in RNAcentral is "bacterial SSU rRNA". It matches the Rfam family "Bacterial small subunit ribosomal RNA", at positions 907 to 1486 of the family's 1533-position model. The record is from RNAcentral.